This 5326-nucleotide unclassified non-coding RNA is filed under the name Drosophila ananassae. RNAcentral describes it as "GF21581". Lineage: Eukaryota; Metazoa; Arthropoda; Insecta; Diptera; Drosophilidae. The record is from RNAcentral.
AUAAAAUUUAAAUUUAAGUUACAUAAAUCCCACAGUAAAAAUCUAUCCUUUGGUUUCUAAAUUAGAUUUUCGUAAGAUGCGGAGGGCAAGAGGAGAAUAAUUUUGCUAUAAAAGCAUGCAUUUUGAAUUUCCCUCCCCGGAGCUUACUGCUCAAGCUUUUGGCCAUUUGUAACGGGGUUACAAAGCGAACUUUGAUUGUCCUUGUUGCACCUACGCCUCGGCGGACCUGCGAGCUAAAGCUUUCGAAGGGAACUUUUGGGCGGACGUAGAGCGCAGGGCUGCUGUUGCCAAAGUCGCGCUGCUCUCUGCCCCGGCGUGUGGCCUCCUGUCUGUGUGAACCGAUGUGGUAAUGUGUGAUACAAAGUCGCCGAGUUAAUGUCUUGUCCAACUGGUGAGACAAAUUCGUUGGAAGCUUUCGCACAAGCGGUUUUUGUUUUUUAUUUUUCCUAAAAUUUGAAGAAUUUAAUGCUGAAAAAAGCAAAUCAGUGUCCAAUUCUGACGUUCCAGAAUGUUAAAGAUUUGCAAUGAAACGCGUAGUGAGGCAGCGCUGUGAAAAUUCGACAUUUGGAAACUUCUGAGCUUGUGCUGUGUGGCAUCAAAAAUCGGGUCGCCUGGUGAAAAACUGAAAAACGUUGAAUCCCCUAAGAAAUUCAUUCGGAGUGAAACGGGAAAACGGCGACAAUGGCGACAAGUACAACGUUGAACGAAUAAAAUUGACUUAUCCGGAAUGUGCGCCCCGAAAAUCUUCAAUUUCUUCUUGUCGAGAUAAAUUUCCUUCCACUCACCUGGCCUUUUAGUCAGAUCCAUAGCCAAAAUACAGUAAUGCUACGAUAAUUAUUACAAAGAAUAAGGAAUAAAUGAGUGUCAGCUCAUAGUGCCGAGAAUAUACGUAAAAAUAGCUAAAAAUUCACAAAAAAAAAUAUCGACUUCGUAGAUGAUCCAAAGUGUAUGUGUGCGCGAGCGGAUGCAACACUGAACGCGCGGCAAGGCCACUUCCGAAUCCUCCGAAAGGAGCGGCUCCUGUCUCCCACUGCCAACACCGUAGAAUACUAAAGUAGCAGUGACCUGGUAUAAUUGGCCUCCCAAAAUAAAUGUCCAGUUGCCGCUGUCGUGCCAUGCGGACGGCGUGUCACUCCCGACCAAUGCGUAUUGUGGUUCACCUUGUGUAAGAUAAUUAUGGCCGAGCGGUCGUUACAAAAGUAUCAGAAAUUGGAAAUAGUGACGGUUGGAAGCGGCUCAGGAAGUAGUGCUAGCAGAGCAUCAACAGGACUUCUUAGGCGGGGGGCACUUGGGUCGAAAGGGAGCCCAUCGCUUAGCUGAUAGAAUGGGUGGCCCAAAAAAAGAGGAGAACCCACCAGGUGGUGGUCCGACGUCGUUAUUCAUCCUUACCGAGGAUAACCCAAUUAGGAAGUACACACGAUUCAUCAUAGAAUGGCCGCCCUUUGAAUACGCUGUGUUAUUGACAAUCAUAGCCAACUGUGUUGUGUUGGCGCUGGAGGAGCACUUGCCCGGGGGCGACAAGACAGUAUUGGCUCAAAAAUUGGAAAAAACGGAGGCCUAUUUUUUAUGCAUUUUCUGUGUAGAAGCAUCGCUCAAGAUCCUCGCCUUAGGGCUUGUUCUGCAUAAACACUCCUAUCUCAGGAAUAUUUGGAACAUCAUGGAUUUUUUCGUUGUAGUGACGGGAUUCAUGACACAGUACCCACAAAUAGGGCCCGAGGUAGACCUAAGAACACUUAGAGCCAUUCGUGUGCUACGGCCCCUAAAAUUAGUGUCUGGAAUUCCUAGUUUACAAGUAGUUUUAAAAUCUAUAAUCAAGGCGAUGGCACCUUUAUUGCAAAUCGGUCUCUUGGUGUUGUUCGCAAUCGUAAUAUUUGCAAUCAUUGGACUCGAGUUUUAUUCGGGCGCACUGCAUAAGACUUGUUAUAGCUUAGAAGAUCCAAACAAACUAGUGAAGGAGGGCGAAUCAGAGACGCCCUGCAAUACAGACAACGGUACGGAGAAGGCAGGUGGCUUUGUGUGCAACAACACCACUAGCAUGUGUCUCGAGAAGUGGGACGGACCAAACCAGGGCAUAACGAGUUUCGACAACAUUGGAUUCGCCAUGUUAACCGUGUUCCAAUGCAUCACCAUGGAGGGCUGGACAUCAAUACUCUAUUGGACCAACGAUGCACUAGGUUCAACAUUUAAUUGGAUAUAUUUCGUGCCUCUUAUAGUUAUAGGCUCAUUUUUUAUGCUCAACCUAGUUCUUGGUGUCUUAAGUGGAGAGUUUUCGAACGAACGAAACCGUGUUGAGCGACGCAUGGAGUUUCAGAAAUGCCGAUUUCGGGCCAUGUUUCAGACAGCAAUGGUCUCGUACCUUGACUGGAUCACACAAGCAGAGGAGGUAAUCCUAGCAGAGGAGCGAACCACAGAAGAAGAAAAGAUGCACAUUAUGGAAGCCCGAAGACGCAAUGCUGCCAAGCGAAAAAAGCUGAAAAGUUUGGGAAAGUCCAAGUCUACAGACACUGAGGAAGAGGAGGCCGAGGAAGAUUAUGGCGACGAUGGUUAUUUGAAAACUCGAUCGAAACCCCAAGGCAGUUGCACCGGAUUCUGGCGGGCGGAAAAGAGGUUUCGCUUUUGGAUCCGGCACACGGUUAAAACACAAUGGUUUUACUGGUUCGUGAUCGUCCUUGUCUUCCUGAAUACCGUGUGCGUCGCGGUGGAGCACUAUGGUCAGCCAUCGUUUCUGACGGAGUUUCUAUACUACGCGGAGUUCAUUUUCCUGGGUCUGUUCAUGUCGGAAAUGUUCAUCAAGAUGUACGCUCUGGGACCCCGGAUCUACUUUGAGUCAUCAUUCAACCGUUUUGAUUGCGUUGUCAUUAGUGGUUCGAUAUUCGAGGUUAUAUGGUCCGAGGUCAAAGGCGGCUCCUUCGGACUGUCUGUCCUGCGUGCUCUGCGACUUUUGCGCAUCUUCAAAGUAACCAAGUACUGGUCGUCGCUGCGCAAUCUAGUCAUCUCCCUGCUGAACUCAAUGAGAUCGAUUAUCUCGUUGUUGUUCCUGCUCUUCUUGUUCAUACUCAUAUUUGCUCUGCUUGGCAUGCAGUUGUUCGGCGGCCAAUUUAACCUGCCCGGAGGCACGCCCGAGACCAAUUUCAACACUUUCCCGAUAGCACUGUUGACCGUUUUCCAAAUCCUUACCGGCGAAGAUUGGAACGAGGUCAUGUAUCAGGGUAUCAUAUCGCAAGGUGGUGCCCAGAAAGGAAUGAUUUACUCUAUAUAUUUUAUCGUUUUGGUACUCUUCGGAAAUUACACGCUAUUGAAUGUGUUCUUGGCUAUCGCCGUUGACAAUUUGGCGAAUGCCCAAGAACUAACAGCAGCCGAAGAGGAACAAGUCGAAGAGGAUAAAGAGAAACAGCUGCAGGAGCUCGAAAAAGAGAUGGAGGCGCUUCAGGGCGAUGGUGUACACGUGGAGAACGGCGACGGUACCAUCGCCACAACCAAGGGCAAGAACAAGCGCAAGGAAGAGGAGAAGAAGGAGGAGGAGGAAGUGACCGAAGGUCCCAAGCCAAUGCUGCCAUACUCUUCGAUGUUCAUACUUUCACCAACCAAUCCCAUUCGACGCGGCGCCCAUUGGGUUGUUAAUUUGCCAUAUUUUGAUUUCUUUAUUAUGGUCGUCAUAUCAAUGUCAUCUAUAGCAUUAGCAGCCGAAGAUCCCGUUCGUGAGAACUCAAGGCGAAACAAGAUAUUGAAUUACUUUGAUUAUGCAUUUACCGGCGUAUUUACGAUAGAAAUGUUGCUGAAAAUUGUAGACUUGGGUGUGAUCCUGCACCCGGGAAGCUAUUUAAGAGAAUUCUGGAAUAUUAUGGAUGCUGUGGUCGUUAUAUGCGCUGCUGUUAGUUUCGGUUUCGAUAUGAGCGGUAGCAGCGCUGGACAAAAUUUAUCGACAAUUAAAUCGCUUCGAGUAUUGCGUGUUCUGCGUCCAUUAAAGACCAUUAAACGUGUUCCAAAAUUAAAAGCCGUCUUCGAUUGCGUCGUGAACUCAUUGAAAAAUGUUGUUAACAUUCUAAUCGUGUACAUAUUGUUUCAAUUUAUAUUUUCUGUUAUUGGAGUACAAUUGUUCAAUGGAAAAUUUUUUUAUUGUACGGACGAAAGUAAACAUACUUCCGCAGAGUGCCAGGGCUCGUACUUCAAGUACGAGGAGGACGAAUUGCUGCCAAAACAGGAGCUGAGGGUGUGGAAACCACGAGCCUUCCACUACGACAACGUUGCCGCCGCGAUGCUGACAUUGUUCGCCGUCCAAACCGGCGAGGGAUGGCCACAGGUCUUGCAACACUCUAUGGCUGCCACUUAUGAAGAUAGGGGUCCAAUCCAAAAUUUCCGGAUCGAAAUGUCCAUAUUUUAUAUUGUGUAUUUUAUUGUGUUUCCAUUCUUCUUCGUCAACAUAUUCGUGGCCUUGAUUAUUAUUACGUUUCAAGAGCAAGGCGAAGCCGAGCUACAAGACGGUGAAAUUGACAAAAAUCAGAAAUCCUGCAUUGACUUUACAAUUGGCGCCCGACCCCUUGAGCGAUAUAUGCCCAAAAAUCGAAACACCUUCAAGUAUAAAGUUUGGCGCAUUGUCGUGUCUACGCCUUUUGAGUACUUUAUUAUGAUGCUGAUCGUAUUUAAUACUCUCUUACUGAUGAUGAAGUACCAUAAUCAAGGAGACAUGUACGAAAAGUCGCUAAAGUACAUAAACAUGGGAUUCACUGGAAUGUUCAGUGUAGAAACUGUGCUGAAAAUCAUUGGAUUCGGUGUAAAGAACUUCUUCAAGGAUCCCUGGAACAUAUUCGAUCUAAUAACAGUCCUUGGCAGCAUUGUGGACGCCUUGUGGAUGGAAUUUGGGCACGAUGAUUCGAACUCAAUCAACGUCGGCUUCCUGCGUUUGUUUCGUGCAGCGCGUCUUAUCAAACUACUGCGUCAAGGAUACACAAUACGCAUCCUCCUGUGGACAUUUGUACAAUCAUUUAAAGCACUUCCAUAUGUCUGUUUGCUUAUAGCUAUGCUGUUUUUCAUAUACGCUAUUAUCGGCAUGCAGGUUUUCGGCAACAUAAAGUAUGAUCCGGACACUCAGUUGAACCGUCACAAUAACUUCCAGUCUUUCUCCGGUGGAAUAAUGCUGCUCUUCCGGUGUUCGGAAAUAUCAAACUAGGUACAGUGGAAAAUUCCAUUACUAGGCACAACAACUUCCAAUCAUUUAUUCAAGGCGUCAUGUUGCUAUUCAGAUGCGCAACCGGCGAGGCUUGGCCGAAUAUCAUGUUGGCCUGUCUCAAGGGAAAGGCCUGCGACGAGGACGCCGAGAAACGUCCUG